Molecule: small RNA, 846 nt
Filed under: Schizosaccharomyces pombe (fission yeast)
Lineage: Eukaryota; Fungi; Ascomycota; Schizosaccharomycetes; Schizosaccharomycetales; Schizosaccharomycetaceae
Description: small heterochromatic RNA precursor
Source: RNAcentral
GUUGCUUCUGCCUUGGAGGUUUUGAAAGUCGUUGAGAAGAAGCGACCUGAGUUAAAACUCGAGUUUGAAGAACACAAGAUUGAAGGUGCCUCUAUUGAUGCCUAUGGAACCCCUUUGACUGACGAGACUGUGAAGGCUUGUUUGGAAGCUGACGGUGUUCUUUUGGGUGCCGUUGGUGGUCCUGAAUGGACCAACCCCAAUUGUCGUCCUGAGCAAGGUUUAUUGAAGCUUCGUAAGAGUAUGGGUGUUUGGGCCAACCUUCGACCUUGCAACUUUGCCAGCAAGUCUUUAGUCAAGUACAGCCCUUUGAAGCCUGAAAUCGUUGAAGGUGUCGAUUUUUGUGUUGUACGAGAACUUACUGGAGGUUGUUACUUUGGUGAGCGCACUGAGGACAACGGAUCGGGUUAUGCUAUGGACACUUGGCCUUACAGUUUGGAAGAAGUUUCUCGUAUUGCUCGUUUGGCUGCUUGGUUAGCUGAAACUUCCAACCCUCCUGCUCCCGUCACAUUACUCGACAAAGCUAAUGUUUUGGCAACUUCUCGUCUUUGGCGCAAGACUGUAGCUAAGAUUUUUAAGGAGGAAUAUCCUCACCUUACCUUAAAAACCAGCUCAUUGACUCCGCAGCCAUGCUUUUGGUCAAGAGCCCUCGUACACUUAACGGUGNUGNUUUGACUGACAACUUGNUUGGUGACAUUAUUUUCAGAUGAGGCUUCUGNCAUUCCUGGNAGCUUGGGNCUUUUGCCUUCUGCCCCCCUUUCCGGNGNGGNAGGAAAAUCAGAAAAAANGGUNNUUGNUUGGGUGANCCCAUUCACGGNAGCGCUCCCGAAAUCGCUGGCANGGCAUUGU